GAAAUGCGAUAAGUAGUGUGAAUUGCAGAAUUCAGUGAAUCAUCGAAUCUUUGAACGCACAUUGCGCCCCUCGGUAUUCCAUGGGGCAUGCCUGUUCGAGCGUCAUUUGUACCCUCAAGCUCUGCUUGGUGUUGGGUGUUUGUCCCGUCUCCGCGCGUGGACUCGCCCCAAAGUGAUUGGCAGCCGGCGUACUGGUCCCGGAGCGCAGCACAUGUCGCGCAAACGAGUGCCUUGGUACGGCGGCGUCCAUAAGCCCCUCUCUCACGCUCUUGACCUCGGAUCAGGUAGGGAUACCCGCUGAACUUAAGC
Molecule: unclassified non-coding RNA, 309 nt
Filed under: plant metagenome
Description: partial contains 5.8S ribosomal RNA, internal transcribed spacer 2, and large subunit ribosomal RNA
Rfam family: 5.8S ribosomal RNA (bases 1-105)
Source: RNAcentral